Molecule: unclassified non-coding RNA, 433 nt
Filed under: soil metagenome
Description: partial contains 5.8S ribosomal RNA, internal transcribed spacer 2, and large subunit ribosomal RNA
Rfam family: 5.8S ribosomal RNA (bases 1-120)
Source: RNAcentral
GAUGAAGAACGUAGCGAAAUGCGAUACGUAAUGUGAAUUGCAGAAUUCAGUGAAUCAUCGAAUCUUUGAACGCAUAUUGCGCUCUCUGGUAUUCCGGAGAGCAUGCUUGUUUGAGUAUCAGUAAACACCUCAACUUCCAUAUCUUUUUUGAAAUGGGAGUUGGACUUGAGUGAUCCCAACGCUUUUCCUCACCGAAAAGUGGCGGGUUACUUGAAAUGCAGGUGCAGCUGGACUUUUCUCUGAGCUAUAAGCAUAUCAAUUUAGUCUGCCUAAAAAACAGAUUAUUACCUUUGCUGCAGCUAACAUAAAGGAGAUUAGUUCUUGUGCUGACUGAUGCAGGAUUCACAAAGACAGGCUUCGGCCGACUUUGUAAACUCGAUCUCAAAUCAAGUAAGACUACCCGCUGAACUUAAGCAUAUCAAUAAGCGGAGGA